UGAGGAUAUAGCUCAUUUGGUAGAGUGCUUGCCUCACAUGUACAAAGACCUGCGUUCUAUUCCCAGUACCACAA
RNAcentral lists this transfer RNA (74 nucleotides) under Marmota monax (woodchuck). RNAcentral describes it as "tRNA.Val". Lineage: Eukaryota; Metazoa; Chordata; Mammalia; Rodentia; Sciuridae. The record is from RNAcentral.